GUUUUACUAUUUUAGCUAUUGAGUAACAAUAUUAAAAUUGUAUCGGUUAUUUGUUUUAUGGGAUAAAAAAUUAUUCUGCAGUAAGGAACUAAGGUUUACUUUAACAGUUUACAUAAGCCUAUUAUGGUGAAUAUUUAUUAUUUAUAAUAGACGCGGUAGCCCUAGAGAAAGUCCAGGGACUGCCCCUGCUGCCCCCGAGCACACGCCGAUGACGGGAAACUAGUGACUACAAUUACGUCAGUAGUUCCCAAAUUGUGAGGUGCGAGCUGCAUGGAUGGCGUAAACUAAAAGUUUGGGAACCGCUGUUCUAAGUUUAACUAAUUUUAAUACAUUUAAUGAUUUUUUUUGUGUUAGUAUUACAAAUAACAAUUGUCAUCUUUUUUUUUCUCUUUUUGUGAUGAAUCCC
Aphis gossypii (cotton aphid) is the source of this 406-nucleotide long non-coding RNA. RefSeq lists it as uncharacterized. The record is from RefSeq and is a predicted model, not a curated record. Lineage: Eukaryota; Metazoa; Arthropoda; Insecta; Hemiptera; Aphididae. The transcript is spliced from 4 exons.